AGUGAACGCUGGCGGUAGGCCUAACACAUGCAAGUCGAACGGCAGCACAGUAAGAGCUUGCUCUUACGGGUGGCGAGUGGCGGACGGGUGAGGAAUACAUCGGAAUCUACUUUUUCGUGGGGGAUAACGUAGGGAAACUUACGCUAAUACCGCAUACGACCUACGGGUGAAAGCAGGGGAUCUUCGGACCUUGCGCGAUUGAAUGAGCCGAUGUCGGAUUAGCUAGUUGGCGGGGUAAAGGCCCACCAAGGCGACGAUCCGUAGCUGGUCUGAGAGGGUGAUCAGCCGCACUGGAACUGAGACACGGUCCAGACUCCUACGGGAGGCAGCAGUGGGGAAUAUUGGACAAUGGGCGCAAGCCUGAUCCAGCCAUACCGCGUGGGUGAAGAAGGCCUUCGGGUUGUAAAGCCCUUUUGUUGGGAAAGAAAAGCAGCAGGUUAAUACCCCGCUGUUCUGACGGUACCCAAAGAAUAAGCACCGGCUAACUUCGUG
RNAcentral lists this ribosomal RNA (492 nucleotides) under uncultured bacterium. RNAcentral's name for it is "partial 16S ribosomal RNA". It matches the Rfam family "Bacterial small subunit ribosomal RNA", at positions 29 to 507 of the family's 1533-position model. The record is from RNAcentral.